AUAUUUAUGUUCUCCCAUGGCAACACAGAACUGCUGGUCAUGAAACAUUCUGAAAAUGCCCAGCCUUUAAAAUGGCUGUAAACGCCACGUCGGACAACUUUCAGCACCAUUUUCCAGAAUGUUCAAAGGAAUGAAGCAGCAAAUCACCAACAAUAACAGAAAAAUCAAUACCCGCCUCUGCUUCUUUUGUGAGAUCUGGAACACGGCCUCAAUCUGUCAGACUGAAUUACAGGGGCUGUGGGAGUCAGCGAGGGCUCAAGCAAGCCGACGUGCCAUGCUGCUCAUUGAUAAAAGGCUGAGGUCUGUACGAGUGCCACCAGUGCUGCUGCCUCCAGGAGGUGUGGAGGGACCACUGACCUUUCAGACGAAAGGCGGGUCGUGGAGCAGUGGAUGUGCUUGCUUGCACUUUGCAUGUAAGAUUGCACUAAUCUCUGGAAUAGAAAGAGUAAACAGUUUGACAAAUACAAGGCUCUGGGGCAUUACCUUGCUAAUGGAUAUUAAAUCAGAUGGCUGUAUUUGGAUGGAAGGUGAUAUAUCAACACAGGAAUGUCAUCCUAAAAUAGGCCAUUGAUCCACUAGCUGAGAAUCUAGUCUUUGACAAAGGUCAAUGCAUCAGAGAGAGGAACAACCUCUUCCAAACUCAUCAUUUUCCAAGGCAACAGUAAAAGGCUGUAUCAGUAUAAAGAAGAAAGCUUCUUCUUGACUCCAGAUGGUAAUUAGUUUAUACCCUGGAGCAUGAAGAGUAAAAUCCCUUAUCACUUUUAAUUUUGCCAGUGGACCAUAGGUUACUGCAAUGAGCUUUUGAAUCUUUGAGUAAUAUACCCUGUGAUUUUUUUUUGGCUCACAGAAAGGAGCUGGUGCAGAAGUCUAGCAUGGUCUUUGUGUUGUGCCACUGGUCUUUCUGCAAAGAGGCCAGGCAGGACAGCUGCUUAUGCCAGUGGAGGAAGAGGGUUGUGACCAGCAGUGUUGUCAGGGGAGGCUCCAGAGAAAGUAAAAGUCACCAUUGGGAAUUCAUAGACACAGAAACAAGUUUACAGGAGGAUCUGAACAUAACUUUAUCAUUGGAAAAUGAGAGAGGAUGGGGCCACCUUUGGUUUUCCUGGUUAAACAUGCUUGACACCAUGCAAUAGAGUGUAGUGUGGUUCCCUGGGUAAUAAAGCUGCACUGAUGAGUUUGUGCGGCA
Molecule: long non-coding RNA, 1183 nt
Filed under: Anser brachyrhynchus (Pink-footed goose)
Lineage: Eukaryota; Metazoa; Chordata; Aves; Anseriformes; Anatidae
Description: lncRNA (ENSABRG00000022550.1)
Source: RNAcentral